RNAcentral lists this ribosomal RNA (444 nucleotides) under uncultured bacterium. Its description in RNAcentral is "bacterial SSU rRNA". It matches the Rfam family "Bacterial small subunit ribosomal RNA", at positions 954 to 1396 of the family's 1533-position model. The record is from RNAcentral.
GAUUAACGCGAAGAACCUUACCUGGGCUCGAAGCGCAGUGGACCGGGGUAGAAAUAUCCCUUCCCCUUAAAAGGCUGCUGCGGAGGUGCUGCAUGGCUGUCGUCAGCUCGUGUCGUGAGAUGUUGGGUUAAGUCCCGCAACGAGCGCAACCCUUAUCCCUAGUUGCCAUCGGGUCAAGCCGGGCACUCUAGUGAAACUGCCUCGGAUAACGAGGAGGAAGGUGGGGAUGACGUCAAGUCCUCAUGGCCUUUAUGUCCAGGGCUACACACGUGCUACAAUGGUCGGUACAAACCGUCGCAAACCCGCGAGGGGGAGCUAAUCGGAAAAAGCCGGCCUCAGUUCGGAUUGGAGUCUGCAACUCGACUCCAUGAAGCUGGAAUCGCUAGUAAUCGCGGAUCAGAACGCCGCGGUGAAUACGUUCCCGGGCCUUGUACACACCGAAUC